Molecule: non-coding RNA, 13230 nt
Organism: Callithrix jacchus (white-tufted-ear marmoset)
Lineage: Eukaryota; Metazoa; Chordata; Mammalia; Primates; Cebidae
Source: RefSeq, a predicted model, not a curated record
UGUGUGUGUGGUGGGGUUUGGAGUGUGUGUGUGUGUGUGGGGGGGUGGUAGGGUCUGGAGAGGGUCUGCCUGUGAAGGAGAAGACCUGGGCUGUGCCCAGAUUGCUAAUGGCUCCCUUCCUCCCCCAAAUCGUUGGAGCCUGGAGGUGCCUGUCCUGAUGCCAGGAUCUUUUCAUUGGUGCAGGAAGUCCAUUCAGCCCUGCAUUGCUUUUAAUGAGUUUUGCAAGCAAGUGGCCUCUUCCUGUGACUCAUUCUGCCUUUUGUGCACCGGAGAUUGUGGUUUUACGUUUCACUUUGGAAAGUAACCACCACUUCUGCUGCUUUCUCCCUGUUGGAAUCUGAACAAGUUACAUUCAUUUUGCAACAAAGAAAUGUAAAUGUAGGAGCCGCCAGUCAUAUUUCUGCUCUGAUUGUAAAAACAUCCUUUUCCGAGAUGGUUGACAGAGCCAAGCUAGGAAGAAAUGGUUUAUAUUUUCAAGUAACACAUUCAUCGGUGAACUCGGCAUUUCCCUGUCCCCCACCCACCAGUUUUGCUUUUGUUCUUUGUCUUCUUGAUUCAUAUUUCAGGGAGAUCCUAAAAAAAAUAAACAGUGCUUGUUGAUAAGUGAGGCGGUUAACCUCUAAUUUAUUGAAAGAAACUUCAUUCUGGACAAAACUCUGUGCUUUUGCUUUCAUGCAGCACACAGAGGAUGACCAUAGAGAUAAUUUCUUGUUCAGUAAAAUGUUUUUCCUCCCGACCUUCCACACAAAUCCGCUUAUGGUAUCUGAAUAGAUGAAUUUCUUAGGAUUAGCCAGUAUAUAUGUUAAGUGGACAAAUAGACAUAUUUUCCCUCAAAUUUAAUAAUGCAGGCAUCUUUAAAAUGUUAGUGUUGAACUAAAUUUUUUUAUAUAACUUUAUUUAAAUAUGUACAAACAUUAAACAGGAACUCUUGUACCAUUAUAAAACCAAAAUGCUUUUAAGUACAGACAAAACUAUAGUGCUAAUAGGUGGGGCGCAGGGACUCAUGCCUGCAAUCCCAGCACUUUGGGAGGCCGAGGUGGGUGGAUCACUUGAGAUAGGAGUUUGAGACAAGCCUGGCCAAUAUGGUGAAACCCUGUCUAUCAAAAAUACAAAAAUUAGCCGGGCAUGGUGGCACGCACCUGUAAUCCCAGCUACUUUGGAGGCUGAGGCAGGAGAAUCACUUAAACCCAGGAGGCGGAGGUUGCAGGGAGCCGAGAUUGCUCUACUGCACUCCAGCCUGGGCCACAGAGUGAGACUGCGUCUCAAAAACAAAAACCAAAACAAAACUAUAGCACUGAUAGAGUUCAAAUUGACAUGGGUGGAAAGUGCUGAGGUACUGAAGCUAGUGAAAUGAUGUUGGAUUUGGGUUUAUAAUCAAUAUAUCUGUGUUUUUUUGUCAUUUGUCAACUUGAUGCUUCUGACUUGAGCAUAAUGGACCACCAUUAAAAUCAUCAUCAUAACACUGACUUUUACAAAAUGAAGUGAUGAAAAAGUUCUUAUUCCAUAUUGUCAUCCACACUGACUGCCAAUGAACUGUUGCACAUUUUUACAGCAAAGAUGGGCUCUCCUUCAUCCAUUGUCUCACGGGACAAAUGCGGCACUGACUUGGAUUUGGGGACUUUUAAGUUCGGCCAGGGACUACACCACCCAGACUUCAUUGUCCUGAUUUUCUCUUUUUGAAGUGCCAUGAAGCCUUGGUUUGGAGGUUACACAAUCAUUUCGCUUACUCAAAUCCUCAGCACACUGAGGGAUGUACAUGGAGUGGUCCUGCUCUCCGAUCCAUCCUUAGGCAAAGGCUCAGUGGUCUCAUGGGGUAGAGAGCUGCUUCUUCCAUGGGGAGGAGAGAAAAGCGGCUGAGGAGACCAGCAGGAAGCCACUUCUAGACCUGCACAUGCUCUGCCGCCCUCUAAUAUCACAUGGAGGGGCUGAUGUCUCAAGGAAUGGGUGGGGAAUCCUGCUUUUAGAGAUUCAAAGCAAUUUUAUAACUUCUAAUAAUGGUUUUGCUUGCUUUGGGAGCAAGCUGGUAGAUGGGCAGGUGAUAACUUUUGCAUGCAUUUGGGGGGGCCUUGGGAUGGGAGGCAGCUUUCUUUGGGGAUCAGGGACACUGGUCUGGGUACCUCUCAUUUCCCACAGGCACCUUCAGUUGCAGGAAAGGGAUCAGAGUGUGAGGCAGCUAAGCAGUCUCAAAAGCCUAAGGUCUGACCUGAUUCAUGGAGUGCCCGGAGAAAAGAUGGGGGAAGGAUCUUAGCAUGACACCUCCAGUUGAGUGGGAUGGUGGGGGGUGGCCUUAUGCACACAUCCACUCACCUUAUGUAUCCACCUCUCUACCCUGAGACGCCAGGCUGAUCAGAAAGCACCACCCCCAGAGGAUUCUGGAGAUGCCCUUGACAUCCACGGGAGGAGGAAGACUUUGACCUUGCCUUGACUUUGGUUCAGAGGAGGUAUGGCUUAUUUUUCCCACAGCAGCAGCAGCAGCAGUACCUGGCGACCAGCAUCAUUUCACCACAGUGUGAAACCAUCGGGUGACGUAUAAAGGUGAAUUUUAGACCCAGGGGGUAGUCUAGGGUGUCCAUGCACAGUGCAUGAAAAUGUGAGCUCUAAAAAGGGCAAACAUCAAACUGAGGAAGUCCUGUGUGUGCCUGGUAGUAUCUCACUGUGUUUGUGGAGCACUCAUAGCUGGUUGAUGUGCUUGUUCUUAUGUUCAUUAAAACAAGUCCUCUAGGCACUUCUCUUAACUGGCACGCCAGUAGAUGGCCUUUAUAGUAAUGCACCUUCAAACAUCUUAUCUGGCUGACAGCUUGCACAUUCUCUUUUUUUUGGAGAUGGAGUCUCCCUCUGUCACCUAGGCUGGAGUGCAGUGGUGCGAUCUUGACUCAGUGCAACCUCUGCCUCCCAGGUUCAAGCAAUUCUCCCGUCUUGGCCUCUGGAGUAGUUGGGACUUCAGGUGCAGGCCACUGUGCCCAGCUAAUUUUUGUAUUUUUAGUAAAGAUGGGGUUUCACCAUAUUGGCCAGGCUGGUGUCGAACUCUUGACCUCGUGAUCCACCCGUCUCGUUCUCCCAAAGUGCUGGGAUUAUAGGUGUGAAGCACCUUGCCCAGCCCAGCUUGGACAUUCUUUAGCUCGUUGGUCACUCUCCUCUCCCCAAUGCAAGCCACGGGUACUUCUCAAGGCCCAGCUUCAGCCUCACCUUCCCUGUGGUCUCUUUCGAGCAGACCCACACAAAACUCUGUGCUUUGGAAACUGCCAGGUAAGACACAACUGGUUAGUUUUAUUAUCAUUGCUAUUUCCAUAUUACUGUUUACAAUCAGUAACUUCAUUUUAUUGAGGGAAAAACUGAAAUUCAGAGACUUUUGUCUAAGGUCCUCCAACUAGUACAAGGCAGAGCUAGGAUUCAGAUCUCCAAAUCCGGAAUGAUUGGAGGGUCAUCAGGCUCUGUCCCACUGUUUCCAGCAGUUGAGCCCUGCACCCACCAAGAGUGACGGUCCUAUGGGCAGUCACUGGACAAUGGAGGUGAAGUGGGGAGGCAUCAGAGUGACAGCCACAUUGUGUGCCAGCUGCACGAGCCAGACCGCAGGACAGUACUCAAAGAGAAGCACCAACAUCCAUCCUGGCUGAGCUGAUGACGGUAAGAGGUUACAAAGCUGUGAAAAUGACUUGGAGCAGUCUCCACAUAUUCCUCAGGGUUGAAUCAUUAUUGUGUGCACCACAGAGCAUUUGCUUUGUAAAAAAGCUAACAUUGUGAAAAAUGGGGUAGGUGCUUCCUGUUUUGACCAGGAACAAAUGCAAACCAGACCCUGCUCUUCUGACCAGGCAGAGCUUGCUCUUUCAAUUCAGAGAUAUCCGCAAAGACCCAAUUAUGCAGUGGUGUGGAAUGGCGCAUAUAUGUAACUGAGGUUCCUGUGAAAGGCACCGUUUCCUGGCUGAGUGGCAAGAUCGGCCAGGACACCAGGAAACUGAGCCUGAUUGGACACAUGAGAGUGUGAGCUGCUGAGACAGUGUUUAGGACAGGACUAAGUAAAUUAUGUUUCUCUUCUGCCUUCUGUUCUUUGUCACUAGUGUAAAUAUACAAAGGAGUGACAUGUUCAGUUGCCAAAUUCCUGAUAUAUUAUAUCCUGGUGGAAAUGUUUACUGGGGUGGGGCUCCCUGUGUAUGUUGGGGGCAGGGACAGGGAGUUUGGAGACUCUGAGCCAGGAGAUCUGGCAGAGAUGGCUGCUUGUCCUCUGAAGAGUUCUGCUUUCCUUCCAUAUGGUAGAGUAGUGGCUGAAAAGCAGCUGCCUAGCAGGGGUUAUAGUUUCCAGCCCCCACCCCCUUAUUAGGUAGGGCCAUGUCAUCCUGUCUUGGCAAUGGGAACAUGAGCAGUAGUGACCUUAAUUACUUCUGGGCCAAAGUAGUUAAAAAGCAGGUGUAGCUUUGUCAUAUUCUCUGCUCUGUCCAUCAACUGGAAGCAACGGUCUCUAAGAACCUGGGUCCCUGAGUCACUCUGUGGAAGGCAGCCUGCCAAGUACUAAAAUGUACUUCGUGUGAGUGAAAAGUAAACUUCCAGCAUGGUGAAUCCGAGAUUUGUGACAGCAGCUAGCGUUACCUAACUGAUACAGGGAGUGAGAAGACAGGUGAGGGAAGAGAUUUGGAUCAGAGAGGAGAGAGGCGGCCACCCAGGCCUUCAGUGAUGGCUGCAGCCAAUGAGCUUUAGAAGAGGUUGCGUUUCAUUAUGAGUUUUAUGUUUUCUUUUUCUAUUUGUGGUUUCUUUAUCAUACGCUCAAAUCUUAAGUAAAAUGUGUUGACAACCUCAUCCUACAUUCAGUCUGUGUUAGAGUUUUGUGGGCACAAAAGGAGAAGGUGUGCCCGUGGCUGGGGCGAAGGAGUAUGGCUAUGUGAAAAGAGGAUUGCAGGCUGGGCACAGUGGCUCACGCCUGUAAUCCCAGCACUUUGGGAGGCCGAGGCUGGUGGAUCACAAGGUCAAGAGAUCGAGACCAUCCUGGUCAACAUGGUGAAACCCCGUCUCUACUAAAAAUACAAAAAAUUAGCUGGGCAUGGUGGCGCGUGCCUGUAAUCCCAGCUACUCAGGAGGCUGAGGUGGGAGAAUUGCCUGAACCCAGGCAAUGGAGGUUGCAGUGAGCUGAGAUCACAGCAUUGCACUCCAGGCUGGGUAACAAGAGCAAAACUCUGUCUCAAAAAAAGAAAAGAAAAGAAAGAAAAGAAAAGAAAAGAAAGAAAAGAGAUUGCAGUCUUCUGGCACAGAGAUGUGGCUGCUCCAGAAGACUGCAAUCUUCUGGCCUCCUGUGUGCUGGGAGGCUUGAAGCUUUGGCCUCUCUGGGGUCCCCCACAGCACAGCAGUAAAUGCUCGUGUGUGCCCAUCAGGCUUCUGAUCUUUCCCCUUCCCAUGCCCAGCUGAGCAUGACCUGGCUGUCUUCACACCUUUAGUGAGGUAGGUGCAGUGCCUCAUUUGGCCUCCUGGUGGCCAGAGGUGGCCAUCAGAAUUAAUCCAGGUACAGCAGGUCAGAUCCAGAGGGCACACAUUCGCUGGGACAUGCCACCACCAUCUGAGAACACUAUGAAAAACAGAGAAGAAAUGGAAAUUCCUGACAUCAUGUGAGGGUGGUUUACAUACUGGUGUUUUGGAUUCAAGAGAAGGGCGUUCUCAGCAGGCUAGAGACAUGGCGAAACUCCGAGGAUGCAUGGAUUGCUACUUUCACGCGGUUGGGACAUCUACAAAAGUACACUAAAUUAGAGUUUACAUUUCCUUUGGUGCAAUCAUACAUAUUUUUGACUUACUCGAUGGGGCUUUAGAAAUCAUUGCUUAAUUGGGUUUGUUAAUUGUUUGGGUUCUCAAUAAUUUUUAGAUUGCUUACCUCAAAUCUGCCAUUUCCAGGUGCCCUGGGGAGAGACUGACUGACACAUGGUGUAAACAGGGAGCCAAGCAGGUCCCAGGCCUCUUCCUCUCCCACCCCCUCAUUCUUUCACUCUUAAGCCAAAAGCUUUGUUUUCAGUCUGAGACACCUGUCUCGUCAUGGCAUUCAGGACAAGUCUGUGUUUCUCGGCUAUUUGGAUGGGUAGGUUUUCAUCUGACAAUACUUGUCCUCAGUAGCUUGAGGCAAAGCACUGUUGAGGCAACAGAAGACAUCAGAGUGCCUCUGUUCCCUGGGAGCUCACAGCUCCGUGCUAGGAUGAGGCCAGGCAAGCGCAACUGUAAUCUGAGGUGCACAGAUGUAGGUGCCUUAAGAGAGACACAGCCAUGAGCUACUGGAGAUGGGGACUUACAUCUUCCCUGUGAAUGUCCUUAAUCAUCUGAAAUCACUCUUCCCUCUGCCAUGGACAGACACUGACUAGCUGGCUGUGCAUACAUGUGCAUGAGCAUGUAUGGGUGCUAGGACCUGAGGGUAUAAAAAAGCAUGGGACAUGAUUCCUGUCAUCAAGACCCUUACAUUUUACUCAGCAAGUCUAAUUUUAGAUGUAAAAAGCCAUGGGUCCAACAAACCUAUUAUGUAACUUUUUUUUUUUCAUGUAUUCAAGUGGGAUAAUUCAGGAAAUGAAAGAAAAUUUCAGACACUAUAAUGUCUUCAGAAGGGUAGACUAUUGCACUCAAAAAAUGAGAAAUGGAUAUCACACACACACAAAAAAACAACAAGAAUGAUCCGUUUGGGGUCUGGGAGACAGGGCCUCCAAUUAAAGAGAAAGGUAGAGAAAACUCCGGAAUGUCAGCUUCUCAGAUACUUUUUGCAUGCUAAGACAGUUUGGGGACUUAAGAUUAGUGACUAAAGCAGUGAACGAAACAAAUGAAAUCCCUGUCCUCAAGGUGCUUGUAUUCUACAUGAGGGACAUAGAAACCAAUAACAUGUCAAGUAUUAAUAAGGUCUGCAAAUAAAAAAGGAGCAGGGGGGAGAGGAAAGUGGAGUGAUGGAAAGGCACCAUUUUCCAGAGAACGAAGCCAGGUGUCCACCCCUCUACUGCAGUGACAUGCCCCUCCUGAUUCUCAUUUUCAACCCUUUCCCUGCUUAUUCUGGAAUUUACUUUUAUAUUUCUAAGUAAAAUGAACAUACUACAAUAUUUCGAUUAAUGAAAUCAGGCAUUCCUUAUUGACUUAUGAUGCCAGAUGAAGUUUUUGUUUUUCAUAUACACUUUUUACCAUCCCCAAGCCUUGUAGUAUAAAAAUACCAUGUUUUUUAUUUCUGUAACUUUUGGCUUUUCCUGGAGUUAAAAUGCUCCAUUUUUAGUGGCUUAUUAUUUUUUUCAAAUUAUUACUACUGCCCCUCCCCCAAAAAUGUUAUGGGAAAAGAAUCUCUGUAAUAUUUUCCACACUGUUAAAUAUAUUUCUCCUUUUUUCCUCUUGGAACUCCUCCCACUGAAGUGCUCUCUCCUAGAACGUUCCGGUCUAAUGGGGCUGCUCUGGCCCCCGACAGGCUGUCAUUCUGGAGUCUUCUCUGCCUUUCUCCUUAUUUGGAGGCCGUCUCCCAGAUGCCAGAUGGAUUGUUCUUAAUCCUUUUUUUUUGUGGUAUCCAUCUCUCAUUUUAUGAGUGCAACAGUCUACCCUGCUGAAGACAUUAGUUAUAGUGUCUGUGAAAUUUUCUUCUGUUUCCUGAAUUAUCUCAAUAAUAAUAGUGACUCCCCAAAUUUUGCUUGUUUGCUUUGGUUUCUAUUGGCGACUUCCCUCAACUGGUAAUACUUGAUAUCUGUUUAUGUGUAAGAGAGGUGCCCUAAAAAGUUGUGGGGUGGGGAGGUGGCUGUGCAGGGUAGCAGGUAUCUAUGUCUAUCUGUGGACUGGUGUGGGUAUAUGAGUGUGGGUCUGUGUCUAUGGGGUGUGUAUGUGGGGGUGUCUUUUCUGUGUACAUGGGGGGGUAUGUGGGUAUGUCUUUGAGGGAUGUGCAGGUCUUGUCAGCCAUGGGCUUUGCUGCCAGUAAUCUGCAUGUUCCCCCAACAUCAGCACCUUCAGCUCUCCUCACUGGAUGGUCUGGUCUCUGCAGAGAGGCUGCCUGGCCUCAUGGUGGGAGGUGGAGCUUGUGGUGAACUGCCUGCCACAUGCCAUAGUUGGACCAAGGAAGCAGCCGAGGAGCCCCACCGCUCGCUGUGUAAGUGCCUCAAAUGCCUAGUUUCAGUCUAACACCUCACCCUGCAUCUUCUCCCCAACUCCAGGACAAUGCACCUGCCAUUAGCCACUCCAGUGUCACCAUGGCAUUAGCCAUAUCUCAGUUUCCCACUCUCUACAGAAUCAUUCCCAUCAUCAUACAAAUCUGCUGUGAUGUGUCCCAUCAGCAUAAAACCAGCCUCAGCCCAUAUUCCUCUCCAUGACCACCCAUUUCUCUCCACUUCCCUUUAUGGCCAAAUCCUUGGAAGAGAUGACUAUAUAGUCUGUCCUUCCAAUCCAUGGGUUUCAUAUCUGUGGAUUCAAUGAAGCAUGGGUCAAAAAUAUUUGGGAAAAAAACUGUGUCUGUAUGGAAGACAUGCAGCUGUUUACUAUUAUUUCCUAAUCCAUAUAGUAUAGCAACUAUUAAUGUGGCAUUGACAUUCUAUUAGGCAUUAUAAGCAAUCUAGAGAUUAUUUAAAGUACACAGAAGAUGUGUAUAGGUUGCAUAAAAACACUACAUCAUUUUAUAUCAGGGGCGUGUCAUCCACGAAUUUUGAGAUCCACAGGGGUCCCGAAACCAAUCCCCCAAGGACACCAGAAGCUGUCCUUGCUUUUUCCCCUUCCUCCUUUUCCUUCUCUCUUGCACCCACUCCAAGUCGACCUUUGCCCCCCACUCCAAUGUACCCACUCACCAUCUUCAGUGAACUCCAAGUGACAGAGCCGAGCAGUUUAGUCUCCAUCUUACUUGGCCCAGCAGUCAGGGAGGACUUUGGUCAUGAUUUGUCUCUUGCUCUUUCCUCAAAGUCUCAAAUGCAGCCCAGAUGUUUCCAUGCAGGGAGCAGGGAGAACGGGGCAAUGGAGGAGCAGCAGUGCACCUGGAGGACUGACUCUGAAGGGCAGUAGUGACGCUGUGCAGGGCAGAGAUGGAGUUUCACUAUGUUGGCCAGGCUGGUCUUGAACUCCUGACCCCAGAUGAUCCACCCGCCUUGGCCUCCCAGAGUGCUGGGAUUAUAGGUGUGAGCCACCAUGCCCAGCCGAGAGUAGAUUUUAAAUGUUCUCAUCACAAAAAGGUUACCUCGGCACAGACGCAGCUCUGAGACGUCUCUUCUACAGCCUAGCCCUCCCGGAGUUGUUUGAGGAGCCAACUGUUCACCUGUCUUGUCUGCCAAGCUCAAUGUUCCUUGUUUUACCUGUUCACUGACUUCUUACAGUCAGAAAACCUCCCUCAAAACCAAGGCUGCCUCCUGUUGAGUAACUCCUGUGUUCUCAGAGAGACGGAUGCUUUGGUCUCAUUUUAGAUACUUUCAGCCCUUCUACAUACAAUGGGGUCCCCAACAAAUACAGUUACUUUCAUCCUGACCACGGCCAUGAGGGCAGCUGGGCCUUGGUGGCUCAGUGGUGGCCAAUUCUGAACGCAGUGGACAUUUAACUGCCUGGGUUUAAAACUGACUUCACUGACAAGGCUCCAACAAGCAAUCAAGUACCCAGAGGAAGAGUGAAAGCACUAACUCUAACCUGUUGUCUACCUAAAUGAGUCUGCUCCUGUCAGAUCUGUAGACCUCAGAGGCAUUUUCAGGCGUCUGCUAUUAUUCCUGGUGAUGGAGUGCAGAGACACCUGCAUCAUCCCAUAGAGUCACAGCAGAAACAAGCUGGAAGGUCUUGGAUUGAUGGGCUGAGACCUGCCCUGAGUGUCAGGAGAUUAGUUCUCAUGCCGGGUGUCACCUCGGGAAGUCCCUUCCCACUCCGGACUUCUGUUUCUCACCAUUACACUGAAAGAUUGGCCCAGUUGGUGGCUUUCCCAGGUGGUCUCUGUGCUAUCACCUCAGAAUUCCUUAGAAAUGCAAAUUCUCAGGGGCCGCUACAGACCCAUCAGCUCAGAAAUGCAGGGCACAGAGCAUAGAGAUCUGUGUUUUACUAAACGGGAUGGGGAUGGGUGUCGGGAGGGACAGGGUGUUCUGGUCCCACCUAAAGUUUGAGAACCACUAGUUGGGUAAAUUUUCAGUCCCCUUCUGACUCUAAUAGUCUGAUCCUCGGCUGUGAUCUGUGAAGAGAACAAACUGUGCCUAUUCCUGAUGACAUCUGGGAUGACAAUGGGUGAGAGAGGGGGUUCCCACCAGAAAGUGAAACUCAGAUAGGUGGCCAUAGAAGUUCCUUUCAAGCAUCACCUGUUAUCAUGUUACUGGGAUUCCAUUUGCUAAUUAAUUUCAGGGAGAGCUGAAAGGAGCCCCGUGGGAAGGUCUUGAUGGCCCUGCAGUGGCUGCAUUAGGAACAAUUCCUGGCUGUCCCUGAAAGGCCCCUGGAAGGCUCCCUUCGGCAGCACCUGGAGAGGGAGGCUGACAGCAGCUUUGUGCAUCUCAGAGUGGAUAUUGUUUCUCCCAUUGGUGCUUCACACAAUCGGGCGAGUGUCCGAGGUCCGGCUGGCCUCCAGCUGUGGCUGUGUGCCCAGCUCCCCUGGAAGGGUGCCUGCAGCCCGAGAAGGGGCGCUCUGUUUCCGUGGGAGGCAUGGCCAGCUCCUGUUGACAGGUUUGUGACUUGCUCACGGAAAGGCCUGCUUUCCGGAGCUGGCCUCGGACUGAGCCAGGAAACAGUUAUCUCAGGGCCCAGCACGUGGCUGGGGGGCUGGCGCAUAGUAGGUGUGCUGAACAACAGCUGAUGCCAACUUGAGGUCUGUUGGGUCCUUUUGUAAAAUUGCUUUGGGUGUUCAGAGGAGUCCCAGAAUCAAUUUUGGAUAGCUCCUCAGCUCCUAGGUGCUUUCGGGAGGGGCAUAUUAUGUGAGACUCCAGUCUGGUGCCAUGGCUCAUGUCUGUAAUCCCAGCAUUUUGGGAGGCUGAGGCAGGUGGAUCACCUGAGGUCAGGAGUUUGAAACCAGCUUGGCCAACAUGAUGAAACCCCGUCUCUACUAAAAAUUCAAAAAUUAGCUGGGUGUGGUGGUGUGCUCCUGUAAUCCCAGCUUCUCAGGAAGCUGAGGCAGAAAUAUCGCUUGAACCUGAGAGGUGGAGGCUGCAGCGACUGGAGAUCAGGCCACUUCACUCCAGCCUGGGCAACAAAGUGAGACUCCAUCUCAAAAAAAAAAAAAAAAGGUUACUGGACUUCGGCUCUCCAAGCUCCUGACUAAUGCGAGUAGGGUAAGGGACGUGACAUUGGGCCAGGAGAGCACCAGGGGGCAUCCUAGGUGACAUCGCAUUAUGAUAGUGCAUCACAUGCAUGACGGGAUUGCUAGGGGAAGCAGUCUCUGAUUUCCAGAUGAAAAAUUUAGGGCGCCCCAAAUAGGUAUCCUGACCAAAGUCACACAAGGAGGAAGUGAUAGAGUCAAAACACUAAAUUUAGUUUCAUUUACUGAAUAUGUGGCUAAAUAAUGUAGUCAUUGUACGAAUGGAAAAGGUUUCCAUUUAUAACUAUUCUAUUUGCCUAGUUAUUCUAAUUAAUGAUUCUAUCUAACACAUCUGUCUAAUCGAAUCCUCACACUAAUGCCUUGAAAUGGGUAUUUAUAUCACCUUUUUACAGAUGAGGAAACUGAGGCUUAACUUACCUGCUGUCACCCAUGGCUAAUAAAUGGCUAGUCUUGAAUCGUACCCCAAUAGAUGUUGGAUGAAUGGAUGACAUCAAAGCCUGUUCUCCACCACAUUCAUCCAGACGAAAGAUUUCAGGGUGGCCUGGAAGAACCCUGCACCUUGUCAGGGAUUGCAGUGUCUGAAUUUUCACCAUCCCCAAUCUUUAGGGUUUAAUUGCCAUCAGCCCCCAAUUCCAAGUGAUGAAUUUACUCCGAGCAGGGCUCUUCCUGGACAGGUGAGCACCUGGGUAAAUCACAUGACAUUUACAUGAGAUGCUUAGUGAGGCUUUGACAUGAUUACAAGUCCACACUGUGAGACUGCAGUUCCAUACAGACUCUACCUGAGAGAGAGGAGCCUUAAGGAGUACGAAAACCACUGUGACCUGGGCAAGAGCUGGGGCAUCUAACCGCGUGGUGGGAGGAUUCCAGAAAGAGUGAUAGAGGUGGGCAAAAAGAACCUUCACUCCAGUGGCCCAUGAGGGAAUAUGGUUGCCAUGUGGCAGAUGGAGAGAUGGGUCCAGAGAUCAUGGGUAAGUGGUUUAGUUAUGUUGAAGUCAUUUUUUUCAGUCAGUCACUGACUCCAGCCUCUCUGUGCUAGACUUACACGCUCGUACAGGGGAAAUCGGAGAUGAAAUUCCAUCUCUACCCCCAAGAAACCCAUCGUCUAGUGGCAGAGAGAUACAUCAUAAUAAGGCCUGAUACAACAGGUCAGGAACUGUAUUUUUGGCCAAGUACCCUAAUGUUCACAGAUAGGAGAAGAAUGGUGGAGAAAACACUCUUCCUGUUUCCAGAAUAACGGCAAUGACUUGGCAGUCUGUAGAUUUUAAGGAACAUUCACGUCAGCCAUAUGCACUGAAUUCAAGCUUAGUGGGCUGGGUGCAGUGGCUCACACCUGUAAUCCUAGCACUUUGGGAGGCUGAGGUGGGUGGAUACUUGAGGUCAGGAGUUUGAAACUAGCCUGACCAACAUGGUGAAACCCUGUCUUUACUAAAAAUACAAAAAAAUUAGCUGGGCGUGGUGGCAGGUGCCUAUAAUCCCAGCUAUUUGGGAGGCUGAGGCAGGAGAAUUGCUUGAACCUGGGAGGCAGAGGUUGCAGUGAGCUAAGAUCAUGCCACUGCACUCCAGCCUGGGCAACAGAGUGAGACUCUGUCUCAAAAAAGAAAAGAAGAAAAGAAAGGAAAAUGAAUUCAAGCUUAAUGGAUGGAUGAAUACUGCCCUGUGAAGGUGCAUUUUGUAGAUGUGUUCGAGAUUGCACAGCUGUUGAGUGGCAGAACUGGACUCGAACCUAGAUAUCUCACCUGAUUUCCAGCAUCAGUGUAGGAGAGCAGGGGCAGGGUUGGAACAGUGGACGUCCUUAUUUCCUCAGAACAACAGAGGAUAGAUGGACGGAUAUAACCUAGGAAGGCUGGGGUGAUAGUAUCUCAAAAUGAAUCUCCUGAGAGGUUUGGGAGCGGCAGAUCAGAACUGAAAGCAGCAGAGUGGCUGAAAAAGGUCUUCUCAAUUGGAACACAUGUGUGGCUUUUCAAGUUGUAUUUAGAGGGAGGGGUAAGAGAACAGCUAUUUCAGCGAAGGGACCUGCAGAGACCCAGGCAGGGCCAACUCAUGGCAGGGUCUUAGGCUGG